GCAUGUUUGUAUUUGUGGAGUAACUCCCGGCCAGCGCAGCUCCUGCGGCUGACCGGGAGUUGAUCGUCGCUGCCACUGCCCGCAGCGGCUGCGUCCCCCCCCCCAACGGUCCGGCCAUACCUGCUCCUCCUCCUUCUCACCUGCCUGCACCGAGGGAUUCGGAGAUGUCAGCACGAGGAGCCUGACUGCCAGCGGCGAGAUGACAUGCUGCCAUACCUCCUGACUGGCAUCGGUUGACCCCCACUGGUCACGGACCAUUGACCAGGCCCUGCACGGUAACUGGCAAAGGGUGGAGCUUGGAGACGCUGGACUCAUCCCAGAAAAGUGGAGAACAGAACAUCAUGUGUCGCAUUCCUGUUGGUCGCAAGUGGAAAGGCAGUCGUCUUGAAGCAGAAAGAACAAAGAACAUAUCGUGGACCACCUAGAUUGGGGCAAAAAAAACACAUAGCUGACGUAUAAGAAUAUUGGGAUCCGAGUAGCAGCAGCCACAUGUUGAUUGCAGAGCCACAUGGGAUUAACGAGGUGUGACCAAUACAUACUGCAGAGAACACGCCCAGGAGCCCGUCACAAGACUGCAAUCCCGUCACUCUUUCCUUAUGGUCUAUUGCCAAGUCAUGCUCGUGGUGCACUCUGGGAGAUCAGCUGUAUAGAAGAGUUAUGCAAUGUACACAGGGACAUACUCUAUAUACAGCCUCAUUCACUAAACCUUCCCGGACAAAUAAAGGUGUAAUCAUAUGGAG
This is a long non-coding RNA of Pseudophryne corroboree (corroboree frog), 740 nucleotides long. RefSeq lists it as uncharacterized. The transcript has 5 exons. NCBI's taxonomy places the organism in Eukaryota, Metazoa, Chordata, Amphibia, Anura, Myobatrachidae. The record is from RefSeq and is a predicted model, not a curated record.